GAUUGAACGCUGGCGGCAGGCCUACCACAUGCAAGUCGAGCGGAUGAAGGGAGCUUGCUCCUGGAUUCAGCGGCGGACGGGUGAGUAAUGCCUAGGAAUCUGCCUGGUAGUGGGGGAUAACGUCCGGAAACGGGCGCUAAUACCGCAUACGUCCUGAGGGAGAAAGUGGGGGAUCUUCGGACCUCACGCUAUCAGAUGAGCCUAGGUCGGAUUAGCUAGUUGGUGGGGUAAAGGCCUACCAAGGCGACGAUCCGUAACUGGUCUGAGAGGAUGAUCAGUCACACUGGAACUGAGACACGGUCCAGACUCCUACGGGAGGCAGCAGUGGGGAAUAUUGGACAAUGGGCGAAAGCCUGAUCCAGCCAUGCCGCGUGUGUGAAGAAGGUCUUCGGAUUGUAAAGCACUUUAAGUUGGGAGGAAGGGCAGUAAGUUAAUACCUUGCUGUUUUGACGUUACCAACAGAAUAAGCACCGGCUAACUUCGU
This 484-nucleotide ribosomal RNA is filed under the name uncultured bacterium. RNAcentral's name for it is "partial 16S ribosomal RNA". It matches the Rfam family "Bacterial small subunit ribosomal RNA", at positions 27 to 506 of the family's 1533-position model. The record is from RNAcentral.